This is a long non-coding RNA of Falco peregrinus (peregrine falcon), 6008 nucleotides long. RefSeq lists it as uncharacterized. Lineage: Eukaryota; Metazoa; Chordata; Aves; Falconiformes; Falconidae. The record is from RefSeq and is a predicted model, not a curated record. The transcript is spliced from 3 exons.
ACGAGAUCACCGUGCCAGCUGUUACUGCCAGAGUGCAGAGGGCAUGUUGGGAUUUAAUAAGCUACAGCUAUAGCCCGCGCAUUAUGUUGGGAGCAGGAUACGGCUGAAGAGCAUUGCUGUUACACCAUCCGCUGAAACAAGCUCUUGCCAAGCUUCUCGGGUGGCUCAUAGGGGUAGGUAGGUGGUGGAAAAUCAGCCGCAGAUGGCACUGUUUGAACUGUCUGAGCUUUUUACAUUUACCUACCAGCCAAUACAAAACAAGCAAUGUCCUCAUCUGUUAAUUUCCUUAGUUUUUCCUGCCUGGCUUUUGCAAAUGGCAAAUGGCAUAAGAGUUUCAAACAUGGUCUCCUUCUAUGCUGUGAAGAGAUCCUGUGCAAACUACAUGUGAUCUGCAUGGAAGCCAAUAACAACUGGUAAAGCCCAACCACACUGGAGUCUGUGGAGGUUUGGCUGGAGACAUGAAUUUGUCCCCUUUCUUGUAAUGAGCUGCAGAGGGACAUCGCUAAGGGCAGGCCCUGAAGAAGAGGUUGAAGAUGGCUUGGCCUUUGCUGCAUGCUUGUGUAAAUUAAGGAAAACCAUUUGGAGGGAGAUCACUCAUAAAUUGGGAAGAACAAGACAUGCAGAGCCUUCCUGUGGCAUUGCAGCGGGAGCUGCAGAUUGGUAGGUCAUGUGCAGGGUAGGUUCUUCGUCCCCGUCCAAGACCAUGAGUUUUGGUAGGACCAGAAUUCUCCGAAUCCUAUCAGAAGUCUCUGCAAAAUCCACUUGAUCCUCUUCUGACAGGCAAGAUGGUAUGAGGGCUUGCAGUCUUCAUGCUGCAAGGCCAUUAGCAAUUCUUGUACCUCAGGUGACUUAUUAAUGUCUUACUUGACAACUCAGAUUUAAAUGCAUGUUGAAAAAUGUCUUUAUACUGUCGGAGCUCAUUAGGUUUUAUGCACAAAACAAAAUCAUUAUUCAGAGAUUUGGAACUGCUUUACUAAAGUGGGCAUCUAUUGAAUAUCCCCAAUGCAAUUCUUCCUUCUAAUACGGUAAUUCGUUAUCUGUAUUUAAUUAUCUGCAAGGUGAAAGGUUGCUGGGCAGUGUUGUUCAGCAAUGGCCCAAUGGAAAUUUUUAAGUACUUUCACUCUGGGCUGACUGUCUUUACAGAUCAAUCUUACUGCUAAUGACAACCAAUACUUUCAGAUGUGAUUACAGACUAGCUCCAUCUUUUCAUGAGCCGAGACUCUUUGGAAUCAUAUGUAUUGAUCUUUUUAAUAGAAGUCAAGAAAAAUGAAAUUACCUUGCCUUCUUUUUGCAAAACUAUGAUAAAUGGGAAGUUGGAAAGUUACAGAAGAUUUUUUUUCUGUUGUGGAUUAUUUUAAUCACUAAAAAUGAUGGUCUUUUUAAUAAUGUUUGUCUUUCCAUUAUGCACAUUUGCAGCAAAGCCAAAACUUAUUUUUGUAUUACUUUAUAUAACCACAUUUAAGCAAAGACAUGUCAGAAUUGCCUGCUGGUAUAUUUAGGUAACUAUCAAGUAGAUUCUAGGCUAAAGGAGAAACCUGCUUUUAGAUGCCAAGAGAUUGUAUUUUCUUGGCAUCUACGAGUAUAACCUAAUUUUUAGAACAGCAUUUUGGGAUGUCUACAAUCAAGUAUUCAUCUGUUUCUUAUAUAGAGCUUACCCUUCAUUGCAUGUAAUAUUGUGAUAAAAGACUUUACCUAUGUGCAUUUUCUUUCUUCCUGGAAGUGUCAUACUGGCUUUCACUUUUCCAGUUUUCAAUGGCAAUAUAUGUCACAUGGCUCUGUCUCUUGCUUCAUUCCUUUCUUCAUGUUUAUAAACCUCUAGUAUUUUACAACAAAAUGUGCCUAUUGUACCCUGCCCUUGAGGCCUAGAAGACAGUGUUUUGGCUUUAUAUUAUGCUAUAAACAUAUGUGCACCCCACUGAGAAUAACAUUUGCUAGCCUGACUUCUCAUCCUUGUGCCAACAGAACGGAAGUAAAAAUAUGUUAGAUCCCACAGUAAUUGUAGCUAUUCCUCUUGGAUAAAUUCCAUUGCCAAGGUAGUGGGUAAGAUAAAUCUUGGUGACACAAUGGCAGAAGAAAAGAUAUGGAUAAAUCAUAGGAGUGAUGGAAGAUAUAUACUGGUGGCUUUCACUGGUAUUAAUUGGAAGAUACAUACAUGACCUACAGAUAUUUAAAAUCAGAGGCACUGGCAAACUCUCCUCAGUUUGAAAGGCAGUGUUAUACUUUCUUAUUGCUUGAUUGAUCCUCAGUUCUUUUCAAUCUUCUAUGUUGUAAAUCCAUGCUCUUUUCAAACUUAUUUCCACAAAGCAAUUUCCUUUUUUUCUAAUCACACCCCCCAUAAUAAUUUUUAACUUCCCCUUCACUUUUCAUUAUGCCUUUUGUUACAGCAAUCUUCAACACCCAGUCAUCUGGUUUUAUUGCUGUCCUUGAAACUCAAUAUUUUUCAGUCAGGUUACUUUCUGAACACUUUGGUAACCUGUAUCUUGCUGUUUUUAGGGAUCCAGACUUAACACCUUUUGUGCAUAUUUUCAGCUUCGGAAGUCUGUGGUUUUUUAAGCCAUGAUACACAGAAUUUACGUUUAGUUCAAGGAGUUCCUAAACUGUAUGUAUGUGACUGAGUCCACUGUGUGUGGAGUGUACACCAAGGGCACUGUAUGUCUGCCCUGUUUUGUUUCUGCUUGUUUCAUAACCUCCUGCUGCUGGCCACUGUUGGACACAGGUUACUGAGCGGGAUGGUUUUGGGUAGAUUCAGUGUGAAGGUCUUCUGCUGACAUCUCUAUCCCACAGAUCCUUGCUCUCGCUGCUCUUGCUGUGCCUAUUUUUCUUUGAAUAUCCUGUUCACAGGAAUUAUUACUCUUACAAUGUUGAAAAACCCCUCAGAACCUCACUGAUUAUAAUUUUAUGAUAUAUCUUUUUGUGAGGGACUAGAUCUUCUAAAAGUAAGCUUCUAUAUUUCAUAUAGACUGGGGUCUGUCUGUAUUGCAGAUGGACUAAGCCAGGUGAUAAAAACAUUUUGUGACAUGCUGUGCUCAGCUGCAGACAAUCCAGUACUUAAAUGAGAAGUCUGAGAAAAAAAAAACCCAAAAACCAAUUGUCUAUUAAUUGCUUUAAGUAUACCUCAAUAUUUUCAUUAAAAACAGUGAACAAUGUUUCAGAAUGUCUUGCAACCAUUCAUGCGCAGUCAAAACCAGCCGGUUAUUUUCUGUGGCCUUCUUAGACUUUGUUUUACAGAGUUGUGUCUAACUGAUUUUACCUAGGAAAGCUGUCCCUUUGUGAUUUAAUGAAGUUGUGAAAUUAACCACUGUGGUAAGAAGACUGUAGAAUUGCAUCGCAAUAUAUUUAUUUCAGUUUAUCUGGAAAAGUCAAGUUAUUCUGCCAGUAUAGUUUUAGUCACGAAAAAAACAUUUCUUUGGGAAAAGAACGUCUUUGACUGUCUCAAAGAUGCCUUGUUUUGAACACUAGAAGCUCAUUUGUUGGCAUGGUGAAAUAGAGAACACUACAGUUGCCAUCUGAAAGAUGAGUAACAUUGCUGAUUUAGUUCUGUGAACCACUGGCUUUGUGAAAGAUUUUUUUGCCAGUGGAUAGCAUGUGAUGAAUAAUACAUAGCAUAGGUGUUCUUCCAUCCUGCUUAUAUGAGUUCUCAGCUCAUAUUAAACAUUUUUUUUAGCAAGCAUUGCACUGUAUGUGUACUAAAAGUUGUUACGGUAUGUCCAAAUCAGCCUGGAUUAAAUAACUUAAACCAUUCAGUUUAGUCCAUCUAACACUUAUGCACAUAAGUGAAUCUAUUUAUUUGAAUGUAUUCUUUAAACUCAAAGGUCCAACUACUCCUGUGUUACUGCAUCCCUUGAGGAGUUUCAUUAUAAAAUUGAAUAAUCCUGAUAAGAUGUGUCUGGGUACCUGUAUCACUUGUGUGUCAAAGGAAGGAGGACAUUGCUAUUGCUCUGAGUAUUUCCACCUUUUUCUUCCUUAAUGUAAGUAUUUACGGGAUGAACAUGAAACAAAGGUUAGCUGUACAAAUAAUGCUUUACAUGUAGAAUAGCUUGCAGGAUCAGGCAGGAUGUAAUUUUAUUUUUUUCUUUAGUGUGGCUGUGUUUCUCAUCUGGGCAGGAAGCAAAGACCGGUGUAUUGAGGUAGAAGGGAAAACCUGAAAUUAAAUAGGGUGAUAUAAGCUAGAGACAGUUUUCAGCAUGUUUUUUCUCAUCUCAAUUCCUUUUUUUUCUUUUAUGGCUCUCUGUAUAAUUUUUUUUGUUUCAGUCUACCCUCUUACAUAGUAAAUGUACUAAUUUCUUUGCUAAAGCAAAUAAGAUAAGAGAAUGCACUAUUUUUCUAAAUGUUGAGAAACUUGGCUUUACAUAACCUUGAAAUUUUCUGCACAGCUCAGAGGGAAAAAUCAUCAGUUUUGUCUGUGUAGAGCUUUAUUCUUGUUCUUUAGCACCAUUACUCUUUGGUAUGUGCAACACUUGGGUUGUGUGACAGCUAGUCACUAUUCCAUUUCUAUAAAGACUUCGCAUGUUAUUAUGGAGUCUGACAGAUCACUACCAAAGCUUAUAGCACAGUCCACAAAUGCACAGCAGUUAUUGCUAAAAAGUCAGCAUUUCCUUGCAAUUAUCAUGUAGUGGCAUCAAAAAUCCACAGUUGUUUCUCAUUUAAAUGACAGAGAAAAAUAGUUUAUCUAUCCAUCCAUCCAUCUAUCUAUCUAUAGUUAGUGCUGCUUCAUAAAAUUUGUCAAUGUUAAUGUUUAGCAGAUUAGAAUAAGAUCUUAUUUUCUUACUUCAGAAAGAAAGGUUAAUUUGGAAAAGAAGAUGAAAUAUACAUAGUACCCAGUGAAUUAGGAAUGUGAAGGAGGGAAAGAAGAGAAGGAAAGCAUUUGGCAGAAAAGAGAAGUGACAGGGAUGGGAUGAGCACUUGCAUCAACAGUUUUGUCAGAUCUGUGUGUCCUACUAUAGUGAAGAGAUAAACUGGUUUCCACCAGGCACCUUGAGUGUUGCUGAAGCUUUGCAAAAGGUUAAAUCAAAGAGUAGUCAGCUCUCAAUGUGACCUCUAGUUCAUCUAAGAUGGUCUUUCCUCCAUCUUAAGUAUUAAAAAAGACUGAAAAGUAAUCAACAACUUGGUGUGGGUUUACAGUGGUCAGGACUAUAGUUUUGGUUAUCUUGAAAAGAUCUGCAAUAUUCUGAAAUGGCAAUGAAAGAGUUAAAUCUGUAUUGAGUAUCCCCAGAAGAAUAAGUCAAACACUAGUUAUUUAAAAUGGGAAAAUAUUUGGGCUGGUAAAGAAUUUUUUCCAUUCAACUAUAUUUAAUGGAAAACUUUUUCUGAUGAAACAAUUUUUUUUUAAUGAAAAGUCUAAUGGAAAUCAGCUGUCUGGUUGUUGUUUGGUUUGUUGUGUUUUGUUUUUUUUUUUCUCGGAAAAUUUUGGCUUGUUGAAAGAAGAAAUUAUAAAGAAGACAGGAAAAGAACACUUCAACAAAGAUUCGAAUAUUUGGAACAUAGUGGUGGCUACUGAAUGGUUAAAUAUUCUGCUGUCUAAAAAGUCAAAUUACCAACAAAUAUAAAAGCUGGUGUUGCCCCAAAGGGUUCUUGAUGCUGCGCAUGUCUAAGUGUAAGUGGUGAGAAGAGUGCUGAAACAUGCCUUUCUGGUGGGGCUUCCAAUCCCACUUCCACAGAAAUAAAUGAAAAUACACUUUUUGACUACCGUAGGAAGAGAACUGGGACCUGGGAUCUAGGGCUUUCAUGAAUAUGCUGUGUGCUGAGGAAAUGAAUCUUAGGAGACUGGCUGCAGCUGAUGGCCAGCAAAGGGAAAUUCAUGUCUGCAGAUGGAAGUAUGACAGUUGGCAACAGACUCUAACAGAAAUUGUUUUCUCUCUGGAAUUUGAUAACUGUUAAUUCUUCAUCUACUUGGCUUCCGCCAAUGAACACAGUACUUUUCACUGAUAAGAAAUUCCUAUUGUUAAACUCCACAUGAACUCAAAAAAAUAUUAAGGUAUAAAUGCUUACCAGCAAAUAUGAGCAGCAAA